Pelmatolapia mariae (spotted tilapia) is the source of this 74-nucleotide non-coding RNA. NCBI's taxonomy places the organism in Eukaryota, Metazoa, Chordata, Actinopteri, Cichliformes, Cichlidae. The record is from the annotation of a RefSeq genome assembly.
GGCCAGUUAGCUCAGUUGGUUAGAGUGUGGUGCUAAUAUCGCCAAGGUCACGGGUUCGAUCCCCGUACGGGCCA